This 426-nucleotide ribosomal RNA is filed under the name uncultured bacterium. Its description in RNAcentral is "bacterial SSU rRNA". It matches the Rfam family "Bacterial small subunit ribosomal RNA", at positions 355 to 774 of the family's 1533-position model. The record is from RNAcentral.
UGGGGAAUCUUGGACAAUGGGGGCAACCCUGAUCCAGCCAUGCCGCGUGUGUGAAGAAGGCCUUCGGGUUGUAAAGCACUUUCAGCGAGGAGGAAAAGCAGCGGUUAAUACCCGACUGUUUUGACGUUACUCGCAGAAGAAGCACCGGCUAAUUUCGUGCCAGCAGCCGCGGUAAUACGAAAGGUGCGAGCGUUAAUCGGAAUUACUGGGCGUAAAGCGCGCGUAGGCGGCUCGUUAAGUCAGAUGUGAAAGCCCCGGGCUUAACCUGGGAACUGCACCUGAUACUGACGGGCUAGAGUGCAGUAGAGGGAGGUGGAAUUCCAGGUGUAGCGGUGAAAUGCGUAGAGAUCUGGAGGAACACCAGUGGCGAAGGCGGCCUCCUGGACUGACACUGACGCUGAGGUGCGAAAGCGUGGGUAGCAAACA